CACGGAUGUGAGGCUAUCCACUAGAACAAUGGUUCUCAACUUUUUUCACACUGAGACCCUUUAAAACAGAUCUUCAUGUUGUGUGACACCAACACCAACCAUAAUGUUACUUGUAUAUAAGUUUUCAGGGCUGACCAUUUGGCACUGAGCAACCAAUUGGUGUGCUCUUCCUUGGGGAAGACCACCUGUCCUGCUUCCAGCCUUUCUUGGUUGCCCAUAGUUUUUGUGUAGGGUUGAAGUCUUAUGGGUUUUUCCCUGUCCACUUUGGCAUGUCCACUGAUGUCUUCCUUGUUAAACUUACAUUUGGGCAGCCAUGUUGGUGAGACUUUAUUGGUGUCUCCUCUGACAAUACCAGGAGAUGCAAUCUUACAGCAAACUCCCACUCUGACUCUCAUGGUUCUCUCUGCCAACCUCUUCUUCAGUGUUCACCAAGCUUAAGGUAAAGGAGUGUUGUGUAGAUGUUUCCAUUUGGACUGAACUCAACCACUCUGCAUUUUGACUGGUUGUAAUUUUCUGUAGUUACCCUGUCUGUUGCAAAUAGAGUUUCCUUGGUGAGGGCUGAAGACUACCGUUAUCUGUGAGUCUGAGGACAAACUUUCACAGAUUAUUUUUAGGCAUGAUGGUGGUUUAAUAAAGUAGUAGUUGUAGACUGUUCUCCAAUAAUUAUGACUUCACUAGCACUGAGCAGUUGACUAAGUUUCCAGUACCAAGCACGUUUCCCUGUUGGUGAGAGGGUCUUAAGUCCCAGGGUCUUAGAGAGAUGUUGGCUACCACCAAAGUGUGUGUAUCACUGUUACACUCUUACGGGCAUCCUGCCUUGCUGGUGAUUGAUGUGGUUGUAUCACUAUUACACUCUUACGGGCAUUCUGCCUUGUCGGUGACUGAUGUGGUUCACAGACUCAUCACUGGAUAGUGCUGUUGGCUGCUUCAGAAGCUUGUGUGGUGCUCUUCAGCACCAUUGGCCAUGCCACCCUGGAUAUGCCUCAUUUCUGAAGCUAAGCAGGGUUAGGCCUGGCACAUACUUGGGUAAAGGACAAUUUAUUUUUUAAAUUGUGAAAUCGUAGGUUUUCAUAAGCCUUUGCAUACUUCCUUCCUUCGAAUUGCCAUCCCUUCCACCUCAAGGUCUCUCUGAUGCUACCAGACUUCCCCAUCCCACUUAAGCCAUCCACCCUCAGUAGGUUAAACUACUAUCCCUCUUACCUCAAUGUGUCUACCCACUGCCCCAAAGGCUUUCUCUAGUUUUCUGGCUUCCAUUUGUUCUCCAGUGAAACACACAGACAAAUCUCUGGUUUAGUUUUGAGACAGGGUCUCUCACUGAACAGAGAGUUUACCAAUUAGGUUAGCCUGGCUGCCGAGUGAGCCCCAAGUAUCUUCCCAGGACAUCCUUAGCACUCUAAUUAUGGGUAUGUAUCACAGAGCCCAAUUUUAACACGGGAAAUGAGAAUUUGAAUUUUUCUAGGUCCUUCUGCUUGCAAGGCAGGCAUUUUACCGAUAAAGCCAAGUCCUCAGCUAGUUUAGUUAUUUUAAAGGUUUUAAAUAUUUUAAAAUUAUCUUCAGUUAGGUUAAUUCUUUGUAGCAUCUAAGUCUCUUCCAGUUGUUCUUUUAUACUGAGUUUAUUAGAAUUUAUAUUGUCGUGUCCUCCAGUGACCAACUACAAUGAGAUCUUGUGAGAGUCAAUCAUUCCUGAUGAGUUGACUGCAUCAAAAUUACGUAGGGAUUAGUGGGACACUCUCGUGGGUGUCAUGGAAUAAUUGAGAGACAAAACCCACUCUUAAAGUGAGGAGAUCCUCCCCAUAGCCUGGGAAGGCCUGAGCUGAACAGAAGGAGUUUAAAAAAAAGAGAAACAACUGAAUAUGAUCUCUCUCUCUCUCUCUCUCUCUCUCUCUCUCUCUCUCCCCCCCCUCUCUCUCUCCCUCUCCCUCCCUCCCCCCCCUCUCUGUUGUGAUAUAAACAGCUCCACCCCACUAGCACCUAGCAUAUGGGAUUCUUUGAAUUAUAAGCCUGAGUAACUCUUCCUCCUGUAAGGUAGUCAGAUCUCUUAUCCUAGCAAGGCCAAGCAUAGCUUACACAGACCUGAACACACAGGAAGCGGUGGUCCGCAGGAAGCGGUGGUCCGCAGGAAGCGGUGGUCCGCAGGAAGCGGUGGUCCUCAGGAAGAGGUGGUCCACAGGAUUCUGAGUCUGAGGUUUAGUCACCUGCAGUAGCUCAGCCUCUGCUGAGCAAUCCUUGACAACUGCCAUCAUCUGGCUAAAGUGUUUCUGCCUCUGCUUACCCCAGGAGCUUUGUCCUGGGAUCUCCUCCUAUGUCCUGAUAGUGACGGACAGGACGACAAGUUGGGUGUACUCUUGAUCAUGGAUGAGACAGCCCAGAAGCAGAUGGAAGGAUGUCCGAAUAUUGACUGUCAAGAUAGAAGGGAACCCGGAGCCAAAGAAUAUGGUAGCCCCUAGCAACUGAAAAGGGUAAAUAAAUAGGUUGACCCUCAUCUCCGUGUUUAUUCUAUUUUCUUGUAUUAUGUGAUUUCACUUAUAUAUAUACUAGGCAAGCUUCCUCCCCAUGAGAUACUGCCUCAGGCCUUUUUUACAGACUCUCACUAAGUUACCUAGACUGGUUAUUGAGCUCGCUUUAUAGCCCAGGCUGUACUUAAAAGGGUCAUCUUUCUGUCUUGUCUUUGAACGGCAGGCCUGUACUGCAGGCCCUGUUUUCUGUCUAUUCCUUGAUUGUAGCCUAGUGAGACCCAAUUUUGAUUUAUGACCUUCAGAAGUGUCAAAUAAUCGAUUGUGUCGUUUGAAGCCACUAAGUUGGUGAGUGGUGAUUUGUUACGGCAUCAAAGGGAGAUAAAUGCAUAUCUUCACAAGGAAACACAGCUCAUGUCAGAGGAGAAACAUUUUUCUGUUGGGCCUUAAUGGUUGCACUCCAUUAAGGGCUGGAAAGCCAUAGCGUUUCCUCCAAGUGUAGUUCGGAAUAGAUCUGUAGGGACUGAUGGACAGCAUAUGCCUCCCUGGGUCCUGGCUGUCUCAGAUAUGGUGUACACAGUUGUGCUAUCUGAUGCCUGUUGUUCUAGAACUUAGAGGCAGCAUGUCAGUGCAUGAAUCUCUACAAGGGGGUGGAGCCUCCAGAGCAUGCUUUGCAUAUAUUCUUUAGGUGUGAUGAAUGUGUGCCUCAAAGUGCCAGUUUCAUCCUAUUAGAAGCUCCAGCAAGCAAAGAAAUGUGGCUUUCUGGAAGGUCCCAAAGCUGAUGUUCCAGUGCAUCUGCCAGUCUUCCUCGGAGCAUGGAAAAAUAUUGUACUUGAUGAGCGUUCGUUAUGACUACACUUCUGCUCUGGGGAGUAUGAUACUUUUUUUCUGCAGUGUUUGGGAAGGAAGCAUCUCUGGUAUUGGUCUCUGCCCAUCAGAAAUCAAUGUUGUGAUAUAAUUACAUUUGUGCAGCAGAUGGAUUAUCCAUGAGCACGUGGCUGAAGCUCCUGUUGCAGUUAGAGGCAACAGAUCUGAGGGUGGGGUAGGAGAGGAGGUGUGGCUCAAUGUGCCUUUCUGUUCCCAGAUAACAGCCAUCUAGCUCAGGCCUCUGCUGUUUUGCCAAGGAUGCUUGGCAAAUAAAUCUGAGGCUUGGGGAAGAAAAUUAAUAUUAAUUAAGUACCUAGUAUGCAUUGGACUAUUUCUAUAAUUGUCUAUUUAAUAUAUAGAUUAUUAUUAUUAUGUACAUGCACACACACACACACACACACACACACACACACACACACACACACGCGCGCGCGCGCGCAUGUGAAAGCCUUGGCAAAUGCGGUAGGCCAAGCGACAAUCUUGUGCCCUCAGUUCUAGCUUUCCAUCUCUUACAUUGGUUCUGUGGAUCAAACUCAGGUCACCAGGCUUCUGGCCAAUGCUACUACUGAGCCAUCUCACCAGCCUUCAUUUACUGUUUAAGGCAAUCCUACAAAAUAAGUUUGGCCAUCUUAUAUGUAAAAGAAAAAAAUCAGGUUUGAAGAAAUCAGAGUUAGGGAACUUCUGGGUAUUUUUUAGUGCUUCCCUCUAAAUGUAUCUAGGUUCCUUCAGCCAGUGCAUAGAAUUUUGCUGCUCUUUAUCCUUCUUAAUAAAUGUGUCUUUCCCCCUGACUUUGAAUGAGGUAUGUGGUCUUCUUAGAACAGUCAAAUGUGAGUAGAAAUGGAUUUCUUCUACAUGCUAAUCUGGAGAACCAGUACUCAAUUUUCUGUGUUCUUUCUCCCUCCAGUAUGGCUCUGGAAUCUUCCACAAAGAGGUUGCUCUGUCAUCUGGUUCUGAGCACGAGGGUGGCAUGGGGGUGUGGUGGGGCCAGAGAUCCUACCCAGUGUGUAAGAGUCAUAAAUUCUGAGUGAAGCACUGUUCAGUGUCUUGAGCCUCUAACAAAUUUAAAGUCAUUGGGUGAAGCAACAUCACUUGCUCUGAAUCAGAUGCCAAACAGAAGAAAAUUGACCACUCGGUUAAUCUGGAAUCAAAGUUGAGACUUUUGUGUCUGUUCUGCAGGGUACCCAGGAAGCUAAGUUUCUUAUUCAUGAUCUGAACAGGGGACUGAGACAAUAAGUAGAGGAGUGUUCUUCAUCAAAGUUCUUAGUUUACCUGGUCCCUAGAAGACAAGUGGGCUUUCAUGGAUUUCAUGCCUUCUAAGAGUCACUUCUGUAUCUCCGAGAAGAUGGCAGAGGAGGGGGCUCUGUCUUUCUCUCUCCAUCUCUUGUGGCACACUUGAUGGUCGCUGAUAGAAUGUUUCCAGUAGAGUUACUAGACCAGUGUGAAGUGAUUAGAUCACAAUUAAGUGAGUUCAAAGAUGAGUAAUGGACAAAAAGACCCAUGGGAGCAAGGAAAAAGCUGAGCUGUCAUGAGGUGACAGGGAAGGGAAGAGCAUCAGGGCAGAUGUCUUUGACUGGGUUUCAGGGGGAGGCACUGGACUAACAAAAGAGAAUAGAAUGGAAUAGAAUGUACUGAAAUAUGAGUUGGAUGGAAUUAAGCAAGUGGAAUAGAAUUGUUUGUUGUUUUAAAAAAAUGUGUAUGUGGUAUAUCUUUGUGUGGUUGGGUUAAUGCACAUGCUAUGUGAGUACAUAUGUGUGGACAUAUGGAGCCCAUAAACCAACGUCAGUCUCUCUCUCUCUCUCUCUCUCUCUCUCUCUCUCUCUCUCUCUCUCUCUCUCUCUCUCUCUUAUUUUUGAGAGAUCUUCCAUGAACCCAGAGCUACUGGUUAUCUAGACAAACUGUGCUGUGAGCUCCAGAGGUCUGGCCCCCCUCCCCCAACCCUCACGCCCAGCACUAGAACUACAAACACAGGUCACCAGGCCUGGUGAGUUGGUCAGGUACUCAUGCAGCAGGAGGCACAUCACUGACUGAAAUUUCUCUCCAACCCCUACUUAAAGGCAUAGAUCGGAUGAAACAGACUGGGGAGAAAGGCAAUGGCAGUUGCUUUCUAGUUCUCUGCCCUUUUAUCACCUCUUAUCCUGGGACCAUUUUUGCUACUGUAGUAGUCAAAAUAAAGUCAAGACAAACAUAUCAUUGGCAACAUACCUCAUCUAUAAGAGGAGUAAUUGUGAUAUCCUCAUUAGCUUUGGCAGACUGCCUUAGAGAUGUCCUCUGGCCUUCAGGUAUAGAUAGAUAAUAGAUAGAUAAAUAGAUAGAUAGAUGAUAGAUAAUAAAUAGGUAAUAGAUGAUAGAUAGGUGAUUGAGCAUAGAUAGAUGAUAGAUAGAUAUAUGAUAGAUAGAUAGAUAGAUAGAUAGAUAGAUAGAUAGAUAGAUAGAUGAUUGAUAGGAGGGAAGGCCAGGGGUCAUUAUCUUUUUUACUUCUUUUCUACUUUCUCCUUCCCCUGACUUAUUUUGGAUCCCUGUAUAGUAAUAAGAGACUCUUCCUUCUUUAUCCUUCUCCCUCCCAGAAUGAGAGAAUGUGCUUGGAAACAGUUGCCGAGGGAGCAAUCUUGUUUUUGAAAAAGAAAUGGCAAAAAGGAGAAAAAAGUAUUUGUGGGGAUGCCAAACCAGAGUGAGCCUUGUUUAAGCAAUUGAGGUGGUGGGAAUGUGUUUACACAGCAAGGGGACACAGGCUGGGUGUCUGCUGUCACUUAAGUGGAUGGUAUUCUGAAAGGACUUUAUGAUCUAUCCUUUAAUUCAUUGUUACUGCUUCUGGUCCAGGAGAAUCCUAGUGCUUAUGAAGCUUGGGUUAGGCAGCAGAAAAUUGACAGCCAGUCUGAGCCUGUGGUUUUCUAAUAGAAAUCCAGGCACAGUUACAAUGCAUUACUGGGCAUAUCCACAACUGUUGGAAGGAUUAAAUGGGGUGAUGUGUGUUCCAUGUUUGGGAUAGAGCCCACUUAGCAAGCUCUAAAUAAAAGCCCAUUACUAAUUCUGUGUACUUAUAUACAUGUGUUCAUCAUCCUGUAAACACUCGUUGAUGGGGCCAAGUGUAUAUGCACUUAUUUUUUUCUUUACACAAUUGUACUUGGUACAUCUAUGAGAAUAUGUUGACACAAGGGGUCUAUUUACAUCCAUAACUGCAAAUAGACAAAUCAGGCAUACUCAAGGCACACGGCUCUAAAUUGCAUACACACCAAAACUGAAUGUUUAGAAAUACAUUUUGCAAGGUUCCUUUGGAAACAUAGCCAAGGGCAUUUGAAAUCAUUGUGAUAAGAAGCUCACUUAGAAAAUUGUUCAUGUUUCAUCUUUUGAUGGUUCCAAAUGAUUCUUAUUCCAUCCCCUUUACUGUUCACCUUAUAUGUCCAUCUGUCAAUCCAUCCAUCCAUCCAUCCAUCCAUCCAUCUGUCCGUCCGUCCGUCCAUCCAUCCAUUCAUCCGUCCAUCCAUCCAUCCAUCAUCCAUCCAUCCAUCCAUCCAUCUAUCCAUCCAUCCAUCCAUCCCACUAAGAUGAUUUGAGUACUCACUCUGUGUUUAAUAUAGUGGUAGGCAUUGGGCUCAUAAGACAUGCAUGAGUCUAUCUUCACAGAGCCUCUAGUCUACACUGACAUUGAGCAGUUUGCUUAAUAAUAUAUAUGAAUUGAUUUACAAUGGCAGAGCCAGAGCGCUACUGUGAAUAUUUUACUUCCUGGUCAGGGUAGAACUUACAGUCUCAGAGUUUGGAGCCGGAUUAUCUGGAGUCAAAUGCCAGUCUGCCAUUCUUUGCUAUGUCUGGGCAACCUUUCAUCAUCCCAGUUUCUCAUCUCUAAUGCAGAGGUCACAGAAAUUCUAGUGCAACGAAGUUUGGUGAGGAAUGAAAGACCACAGCAUGAGAACAUAUGAAACAGAUUGUGAUUUAUUAAGUAUUAUACAUUAGUACCACAAUUGCUAUUACUGUUUGUCUCAGACAGCCCUUUGUACUUGGUGGGUGUGACCCUGCACUGCAUAGAGCAGUUCCACAUGACCAGAUUACUGUUAUCACUUUUCACUGUCCUCUGGACUGUUCCUAGAGAAGUCUCUUCCAGGCUAGGUGAUGAUCACUCUCUCAGUUUUCCGAGACCUGGUGGUGAGGACAGCUUUAGUCUUUCUUUGAGAAGAGACUUAGAAACAGCCAGUGAGAUCCUGCAAGUCCCUGCCUCUAUUUGUCUGCCAUGGAUGGUCUUCUGCUUGACUCCUCUCCGCAGAUAUUCUUUGACAUGGUCUCCUUGGAGUGUGGAGGGGGCAGUUUCAAUGAUAAAGUUCUUUCUGUGCCUUAUGAGUCAAAUGUGAUGACAGUUUCCCCCAGUGCCUGGCCCUACAAAGAGCAGUAAAGAGAGAACACACACACAUACAUACACACACACACACACACACACACACACACACACACACACACACACACAGAGAGAGAGAGAGAGAGAGAGACAGAGAUAGAGACAGAGACAGAGACAGAGAGACAGAGAGAGACAGACAGACACAAACACACAGGCACACACAUACAGACACAACACACACAUACAGACACAACACAUACAGACACAACAACACACACACAUACACACACACACACACACACACACACACACAGAGAGAGAGAGAGAGAGAGAGAGAGAGAGAGAGAGAGAGAGAGAGAGAGAC
Molecule: non-coding RNA, 8008 nt
Organism: Rattus norvegicus (Norway rat)
Lineage: Eukaryota; Metazoa; Chordata; Mammalia; Rodentia; Muridae
Source: RefSeq, a predicted model, not a curated record